This 253-nucleotide ribosomal RNA is filed under the name uncultured bacterium. RNAcentral describes it as "partial 16S ribosomal RNA". It matches the Rfam family "Bacterial small subunit ribosomal RNA", at positions 524 to 776 of the family's 1533-position model. The record is from RNAcentral.
UACGGAGGAUGCAAGCGUUAUCCGGAAUUAUUGGGCGUAAAGCGUCCGCAGGUGGUUUUGAAAGUUUGCUGUCAAAGCGCGAGGCUCAACUUCGUAUCGGCGGUGAAAACUUCAAGACUAGAGCUAGGGAGGGGUCACGGGAAUUCCCAGUGUAGCAGUGAAAUGCGUAGAUAUUGGGAAGAACACCAGCGGCGAAAGCGCGUGACUGGGCCUGAGCUGACACUCAUGGACGAAAGCUAGGGGAGCGAACAGG